AAGUGGUGUACUGGUCAAAGAUAAAAUAAAAGAUCAUCACCACAGCAAAGAAAAGGCAGGUAAAAUUAAAAAUUAUUUCAAGAGUGAAUCAGGUGCAAGGUCACUUUCCCAUUUCUGAGGGAUGCAUGCCUGAUGAACAAUAAUGUCAGUACCUCCUACAGCUCCUGCAGAUCCACAUUCCCCCUCCCCACAGUAUUUAACACCAGUCUUUUCUGCUUGUACUUGACCAAGCAAGAGAUAAGAUUCCCUAACUCAUUUUAGAACAUUAAAACACUGUUAGAGAGAUAAAGUAACCUACAUUAAUUUCCCACCAUUUUGAACACUAUUUCAUUGAUUCUCUGGCACUGAUAUUUUCUAAAUCUUUGAUAAUUUUUGUGUUUCCCUUUGAGCCAGCUGACCCAUGGUAUAAAAUACUGUACAAAACUGGAGUGUAUUGCAGGAUUGGAAAGGCUUAAUGCGACUUGAGCAGUCAGCAAAGAUCCAAAGUGUGGAGGAAGGAAGGUGGGAGGCGCAGGAAAUGCAUAACAUGGCUCAAACUGAAGAAUCUUUCUGAUGACAAGUGAUAUGGCACUCACAUGUUCUUGCCAGCCUACCUUUCUCUUCGACAACCACUGUUGUCCCAUUUCCACGUAGUUUCUUAAGGAAAGGAAAACACUUUAUAAAAACAGAUUGAGUCUGAAGCAUAUUAAACACUCUCUGCCAGAUAAAGAAGAAACAAAAGGAGCAAUUCAGAAUGAUUCAUUAGUCAAUAGUGAAAAUCUCAUCAAGGUUAAAGAAAAAUGACACUGCAAUUUUUGACCCUAUGUAGGAGUCUUGUCCAGCACUGCUUCUAAUGAAUGACAAGUGUACAGCAUUUUAGAGGUGUGUUUUUUCAUUUGGUUUCAACUUCUUCCAUUAAGUACUUGCUGACAAGUAGUUUAUAACACCAAAUUCACCUCCUUCCUUUAAUAGGAGCAGCCACACAGAUCAUUGGGUCUCUUGUCUGGCUUCUAAGAAAAGGCUGACUUGGACAGUAUCAGUAGAAAUCAAACUUUGUUCCUUCCUGCUUUCAAUACAUUUUUCUCUCACUGUCAGCAUGCAAAGUAAGUGACACAUGAGACAUUAUGCAAUAUAUGUACAAAACAUUUUCUUCUAAAGUGAAGCCACUGUGUUGAUAUCAGAUAACUCUUUUUAUAUUCUAAUGGCAUUGAUGCUCAUUACAAAAGUGCUAAUCCUAUAAAAUCUAUUCCCAUGACUGCUGAGACAAUUAUUUUCAUAUGCUGUAUGAAGAAUUAUAAUUCCUUUUUCUAUCCUUUGCAACAUUCAAGUGAAGAACUAAUAAGAGAAAAUGGCAGGAUUUUCUUCUAAAUUUUAUCCUGUUUAUCACUCAGGCACAUUUCACAGCAAGACAUAACUAGUUAGACAAAUUUUUUUCAUAUCUCACCCUAAAAUGGCAUCUGAUUAGUUUUAUCAAAAAAUGCAAAUAAAUUUUUCUAUUUUUUCUAUAGAAGAAGCCACACAUUCAUCACAAGUAAAGGAGUCAGGAACCUCCAUCUUUACAAUGCAACACUUAAAAACUUGUAGAGAACAAUAUGGACAGUAUGGGGUAAUAUAA
Molecule: long non-coding RNA, 1594 nt
Organism: Passer domesticus (house sparrow)
Lineage: Eukaryota; Metazoa; Chordata; Aves; Passeriformes; Passeridae
Exons: 3
Source: RefSeq, a predicted model, not a curated record